GAUGAACGCUGGCGGCGUGCCUAAUACAUGCAAGUCGAGCGAACGGACGAUAAUCUUUCUUCUCUGAUGUUUGCGGCUGACGUGUGUGUAACACGUGUAUAACCUACCUAUAUUACUGGUAUAACUUCGGGAAACCGGAUCUAAUACCGGAUGAUAUUUUGAACCUCAUUGUUCAAUAGUUUAUUUCGUUCUUUCUGUCACUUAUAGAUGUAUCCCGGCUGCAUUAUCUAGUUGGUAAGGUAACGGCUUACCAAGGCAACGAUGCAUAGCCGACCUGAGAGGGUGAUCGGCCAGACUGGAACUGAGACACGGUCCAGACUCCUACGGGAGGCAGCAGUAGGGAAUGUUCGGGAAUGGGGGAAAGCAUGACGGAGCAAAGCCGCGUGAGUGAUGAAGGUCUUAGGAUCGUAAAACUCUGUUAUUAGGGAAGAACAUAUGUGUAAGAAACUGUGCACAUAAUGACGGUACCUAAUCAGAAAGCAACGGCUAACUACGUG
This 497-nucleotide ribosomal RNA is filed under the name uncultured bacterium. Its description in RNAcentral is "partial 16S ribosomal RNA". It matches the Rfam family "Bacterial small subunit ribosomal RNA", at positions 28 to 507 of the family's 1533-position model. The record is from RNAcentral.